GACGAACGCUGGCGGCGUGCCUAAUACAUGCAAGUAGAACGCUGAAGAGAGGAGCUUGCUCUUCUUGGAUGAGUUGCGAACGGGUGAGUAACGCGUAGGUAACCUGCCUUGUAGCGGGGGAUAACUAUUGGAAACGAUAGCUAAUACCGCAUAACAAUGGAUGACACAUGUCAUUUAUUUGAAAGGGGCAAUUGUUCCACUACAAGAUGGACCUGCGUUGUAUUAGCUAGUAGGUGAGGUAAUGGCUCACCUAGGCGACGAUACAUAGCCGACCUGAGAGGGUGAUCGGCCACACUGGGACUGAGACACGGCCCAGACUACUACGGGAGGCAGCAGUAGGGAAUCUUCGGCAAUGGGGGCAACCCUGACCGAGCAACGCCGCGUGAGUGAAGAAGGGUUUCGAAUCGUAAAGCUCUGUUGUAAGUCAAGAACGGGUGUGAGAGUGGAAAGUUCACACUGUGACGGUAGCUUACCAGAAAGGGACGGCUAACUACGUG
Molecule: ribosomal RNA, 497 nt
Filed under: uncultured bacterium
Lineage: Bacteria
Description: partial 16S ribosomal RNA
Rfam family: Bacterial small subunit ribosomal RNA
Source: RNAcentral